RNAcentral lists this ribosomal RNA (517 nucleotides) under uncultured Comamonadaceae bacterium. RNAcentral's name for it is "bacterial SSU rRNA". It matches the Rfam family "Bacterial small subunit ribosomal RNA", at positions 8 to 526 of the family's 1533-position model. Lineage: Bacteria; Pseudomonadati; Pseudomonadota; Betaproteobacteria; Burkholderiales; Comamonadaceae. The record is from RNAcentral.
AGAGUUUGAUCCUGGCUCAGAUUGAACGCUGGCGGCAUGCCUUACACAUGCAAGUCGAACGGUAGAGGGGCAACCCUUGAGAGUGGCGAACGGGUGAGUAAUAUAUCGGAACGUGCCCAGUCGUGGGGGAUAACGCAGCGAAAGCUGCGCUAAUACCGCAUACGAUCUAUGGAUGAAAGCGGGGGAUCGCAAGACCUCGCGCGAUUGGAGCGGCCGAUAUCAGAUUAGGUAGUUGGUGGGGUAAAAGCCCACCAAGCCGACGAUCUGUAGCUGGUCUGAGAGGACGACCAGCCACACUGGGACUGAGACACGGCCCAGACUCCUACGGGAGGCAGCAGUGGGGAAUUUUGGACAAUGGGCGCAAGCCUGAUCCAGCAAUGCCGCGUGCAGGACGAAGGCCUUCGGGUUGUAAACUGCUUUUGUACGGAGCGAAACGGUCUGGGUUAAUACCCUGGGCUAAUGACGGUACCGUAAGAAUAAGCACCGGCUAACUACGUGCCAGCAGCCGCGGUAAUUC